This 358-nucleotide unclassified non-coding RNA is filed under the name soil metagenome. Its description in RNAcentral is "partial contains 5.8S ribosomal RNA, internal transcribed spacer 2, and large subunit ribosomal RNA". The stretch from base 1 to 120 matches the Rfam family "5.8S ribosomal RNA", at positions 35 to 154 of the family's 154-position model. The record is from RNAcentral.
GAUGAAGAACGUAGUGAAAUGCGAUAAGUAAUGUGAAUUGCAGAAUUCAGUGAAUCAUCGAAUCUUUGAACGCACAUUGCGCCCGUCAGUAUUCUGGCGGGCAUGCCUGUUCGAGCGUCAUUACGCCCCUCAAGUCCCCUGUGGACUUGGUGUUGGGGAUCGGCGAGGCUGGUUUUCCAGCACAGCCGUCCCUUAAAUUAAUUGGCGGUCUCGCCGUGGCCCUCCUCUGCGCAGUAGUAAAACACUCGCAACAGGAGCCCGGCGCGGUCCACUGCCGUAAAACCCCCCAACUUUUUAUAGUUGACCUCGAAUCAGGUAGGACUACCCGCUGAACUUAAGUAUAUCAAUAAGCGGAGGA